GACAGAGGUGGCGAGCGUUGUUCGGAAUUACUGGGCUUAAAGGGCGCGUAGGCGGUUAUACAAGUCUGUGGUGGAAUCUCAUGGCUUAACCAGGGGGCUGCCGUGGAAACUGUAUGACUUGAGUUGGUGAGGGGAAGGCGGAAUAUCUGGUGUAGCGGUGAAAUGCGUAGAUAUCAGGUAGAAGGCCUGUGGCGAAGGCGGCCUUCUGGCGCUUAACUGACGCUGAGGCGCGAAAGCGUGGGGCGCACACAGG
Molecule: ribosomal RNA, 253 nt
Filed under: uncultured bacterium
Lineage: Bacteria
Description: partial 16S ribosomal RNA
Rfam family: Bacterial small subunit ribosomal RNA
Source: RNAcentral